GACGAACGCUGGCGGCGUGCUUAACACAUGCAAGUCGAGCGGUAAGGCCCUUUCGGGGGUACGACGAGCGGCGAACGGGUGAGUAACACGUGGGUGACCUGCCCUCAGCUCUGGGAUAAGCCUGGAAAACCGGGUACUAAUACCGGAUAUGACUCCAUGACGCAUGCUGUGGGGUGGAAAGCCUUGUGCGGCUGAGGAUGGGCCCGCGGCCUAUCAGCUUGUUGGG
Molecule: ribosomal RNA, 226 nt
Filed under: uncultured bacterium
Lineage: Bacteria
Description: partial 16S ribosomal RNA
Rfam family: Bacterial small subunit ribosomal RNA
Source: RNAcentral